UUUUCCUUACUAAUGAAAAUAAUGCUAGCGCAUCAUUGUGCUGAAUCUAUGACAGUUUCAAGAACAGAUAAGCAAGCACCAGAAAGACAUACAUUCAAAAAAUCAAUGUAAGAAGGAAAUGAAGAAAGUACAUCCAACGAAAAUGGAGAAAUUGAAUUAAUAAACAAGCGGAUGAAGGCUAUAAACAAAGAUAUCCUGAAAAAGGACUCUUUGAAGGAGGACGUUUGAAAAAGAUAAUAAAAAGGGCCGAUGUAGAAAAGGCGAAGAGGAAAGUAGAAGGCGACCUGAAAUUCACACAGAAAGCCGUUGUCUAUCUCGAGAGAAACAAGAAGGAAAUCGAUCCAUCGAACACCAUCCAAAGACAAUGAAUUGUUGUUUUCAUAUGACGAACUUAAGAAUGAGAUGGUUAACAAUUUGGUUAACAAAUUGCGAAAGCAGAUUAAGGAAUUGCAGAAGCGAAUCGAGGAAUUAGAAGAAGAAGUCGAAGCAGAACGCUUAAAUGAAAAAGAAGAAUAAGUUUGACCAUUUUACAUAAUUUUUGAUAUUUUUUCUUUCUCACAGCACAUUUAUUAAAGAAUUACUGUUAUUUUUGUUCACAAAUAAUGCAAUUAUACAAUAUAGAAGAAAUAAUAUUACUAAAU
This is a long non-coding RNA of Atta colombica, 641 nucleotides long. RefSeq lists it as uncharacterized. NCBI's taxonomy places the organism in Eukaryota, Metazoa, Arthropoda, Insecta, Hymenoptera, Formicidae. The record is from RefSeq and is a predicted model, not a curated record. The transcript has 4 exons.